UAAUGGAUGACUCAGCUUUUU
Molecule: non-coding RNA, 21 nt
Filed under: Rattus norvegicus (Norway rat)
Lineage: Eukaryota; Metazoa; Chordata; Mammalia; Rodentia; Muridae
Source: RNAcentral